This 74-nucleotide transfer RNA is filed under the name Chitinophagaceae bacterium. RNAcentral's name for it is "tRNA-Cys". It matches the Rfam family "tRNA". Rfam says of the family: Transfer RNA (tRNA) molecules are approximately 80 nucleotides in length. Their secondary structure includes four short double-helical elements and three loops (D, anti-codon, and T loops). Further hydrogen bonds mediate the characteristic L-shaped molecular structure. tRNAs have two regions of fundamental functional importance: the anti-codon, which is responsible for specific mRNA codon recognition, and the 3' end, to which the tRNAs corresponding amino acid is attached (by aminoacyl-tRNA synthetases). tRNAs cope with the degeneracy of the genetic code in two manners: having more than one tRNA (with a specific anti-codon) for a particular amino acid; and 'wobble' base-pairing, i.e. permitting non-standard base-pairing at the 3rd anti-codon position. The record is from RNAcentral. Lineage: Bacteria; Pseudomonadati; Bacteroidota; Chitinophagia; Chitinophagales; Chitinophagaceae.
GGUCCUGUGGCCGAGUGGUUAGGCAAAGCUCUGCAAAAGCUUCUACAGCGGUUCGAACCCGCUCGGGACCUCGA